Molecule: ribosomal RNA, 253 nt
Filed under: uncultured bacterium
Lineage: Bacteria
Description: partial 16S ribosomal RNA
Rfam family: Bacterial small subunit ribosomal RNA
Source: RNAcentral
UACAGAGGGUGCAAGCGUUGUUCGGAAUCAUUGGGCGUAAAGAGCGUGUGGGCGGCCCGGUAAGUCCGCUGUGAAAGUCGGGGGCUCAACCCUCGAAUGCCGGUGGAUACUGUCGGGCUAGAGUGCGGAAGAGGCGAGUGGAAUUCCUGGUGUAGCGGUGAAAUGCGCAGAUAUCAGGAGGAACACCGAUUGCGAAGGCAGCUCGCUGGGACGUUACUGACGCUGAGACGCGAAAGCGUGGGGAGCAAACAGG